CCUACGGGUGGCAGCAGUGAGGAAUAUUGGUCAAUGGACGGAAGUCUGAACCAGCCAUGCCGCGUGCAUGAAGACGGCUCUAUGAGUUGUAAACUGCUUUUGUACAAGGGUAAACCUGAAUACGUGUAUUCAGCUGACAGUACUGUACGAAUAAGGAUCGGCUAACUCAGUGCUGGCAGCCGCGGUAAUACGGAGGAACCAAGCGUUAUCCGGAUUUAUUGGGUUUAAAGGGUGCGUAGGCGGAUUGAUAAGUUAGAGGUGAAAUGUCCGAGCUUAACUCGGGAACUGCCUUUAAUCCUGGUGAUCUAGAGAGUAGAUGAGGUAGGCGGAAUGUAUGGUGUAGCGGUGAAAUGCUUAGAGAUCAUACAGAACACCGAUUGCGAAGGCAGCUUACUAAUCUAUAUCUGACGUUGAGGCACGAAAGCGUGGGGAGCAAACAGGAUUAGAUACCCUGGUAGUC
This 460-nucleotide ribosomal RNA is filed under the name uncultured bacterium. RNAcentral describes it as "partial 16S ribosomal RNA". It matches the Rfam family "Bacterial small subunit ribosomal RNA", at positions 338 to 795 of the family's 1533-position model. The record is from RNAcentral.